GCGCUUGUGGCCAAGUGGUAAGGCGUCGCACUUGUACCAUUCACGUGGAAUGCGAAGACCGUCAGUUCGAAUCUGGCCGGGCGCA
Aspergillus rambellii is the source of this 85-nucleotide transfer RNA. It matches the Rfam family "tRNA". Rfam says of the family: Transfer RNA (tRNA) molecules are approximately 80 nucleotides in length. NCBI's taxonomy places the organism in Eukaryota, Fungi, Ascomycota, Eurotiomycetes, Eurotiales, Aspergillaceae. The record is from Rfam.